RNAcentral lists this long non-coding RNA (899 nucleotides) under Mustela putorius furo (domestic ferret). Its description in RNAcentral is "lncRNA (ENSMPUG00000026234.1)". Lineage: Eukaryota; Metazoa; Chordata; Mammalia; Carnivora; Mustelidae. The record is from RNAcentral.
AGGCGUGGGGCAGAGACCCCUGACCCAUGUGACACUGACUCCCUCCCCCAUGGGUACCCCCUCUCCCCUGCCUCCGCCGAGCUCCUUGCUGCGGCUUUAUUACUCUGCUGGUUGCUAGAAUGAUCUUUCUAAAAUCAGAGUAUAUCACUCCCUUAUUCAAAAUAAUGUUGGCUUCAAACCCUAGUGAACUCAAUGGCAAAAGCCAAAUGGCUUAACAUAGCAAAAGGAAAUACAUAGUACAGCAGCCAAAUUUGUUUUGUUCUGUUUUGUUUUGUUUUCAGCCUCCAAUUGCAUUCUGUUGGGAUGCAUGUGCGUCCUGUGUCCAGGCCUUCGUCUUCCUUCUAUCAGAGGAAACUUGUGGAUGCUCCGUCUUGCAGUUGCCACAUGAGGUCCUGUCAGGAGUAAGGAGGCAUCAGCAGCUCUGCAUUGGUGAUCCUGUUAACGCUCCCACCUCGUGGGGAGUAAACUGAAACAGAGGCCUGGCUGUGGAGAACAAACACUAACUACAUCAGGGUUGCCCAUCAAACACCUCCAAAAGGAAUUCUAGCCGGAGACCUUUUGUUUGAGUAACCACUGAAGCACCCGAGAGAAGUUGAGGGAGAGCUUUAAAAAUGGGAUUACAUAGUUUGGAUUCGGCUGAAGGUGGUCUAGGAAAUCCUUGCUAACAGGACCUUCCCAAGAAAGUGUGGCCAAGCCCUAAAAUUCCUGUAUCUGAGACCCAGCCCUGCAUCAGAACCUGCUUCCAUCCUUCUGGUCCCUCUGCUGAAAAUCCCAAACCCACAAUUUUCUAGGAAAAUCGUUCAAUUCUUAAGUUUUAGAAUUUCUAGUUAAAAUAAAAAUUGUGAAUAUGCUUUCCUUAAAGAACAAAUUGAUCUGAUUAAAUAUCUUUGAAACCUAGG